Molecule: unclassified non-coding RNA, 2282 nt
Filed under: Owenia fusiformis
Lineage: Eukaryota; Metazoa; Annelida; Polychaeta; Sabellida; Oweniidae
Description: misc RNA OFUS_LOCUS7203
Source: RNAcentral
CAUAUAUUAUCGCCCAAUCCACGUAAAUAUACUUUUGAAAACACUGCUUUAUAUUACGUUUUGUGCAUAAUCUACGACUCCUGGUGCAGCAGUAAUACAGAUUUUCCACAAUAUAUUGUAGCAGCUUAAAGUACGAGAUAUAGGAUUGCUUCGAAGCCAAGUACUUAUUUGAUUAGACAACUUGCAUUCCAAUAUGUGGUCUGUCAUGAACAAUGAGAUUUGUGGCCAGUCAUGAGACAUUUGGAGUUAAAUGACAAAUCAGUGUUCAGUUAGGAAAAGAUGAGAAUACACAAGUUAAAACUUCUAUUCUUUUCAAUAGUAAUUUUUAUUUUAUAUAUUUCUUAUAAAAUCCUACAACCAGAAAUAAAGGAGAAUCGUGGCAGAAGAGAACUUGUCGGGGAUGAGGACUACAUAAAUGUUGAUACUCGAAACAAUAACAAAAGAGAUGAUAUUUUAAAGGUAGAUAGUAAUAAAAAUGACAGAGUUAUACCUCCAACUCGGCCUGAGUUUGGUCAUGUGGUGGAAAGCCAGGAAAAAAUUGACGAAACUCAUUUGAGAAAUAGUCAAGAAAAAGAAGAAAUCAAUCCAAGAUUUGGUCAUAAUAUUGAUCCAGGUUUGCACCAAGUACAUCAUGACAUUAAAAGUGACCAUGAUACAAAUCAAGAUAUAAACCCACGAUUUGGUCAUGCCGUCUUAGAAAAUGAUGAUGACUAUCCUUUAGGGGCCAAGGAUCAUAAUGACAAUAACCCUAACAAUAUUAAGGGUGAGAUGGUCGCAGAUCAGCAAAAACUUCUACGUAAACUAUUAGGAACUUAUGAUAUUGAUGUCGGGGUUGAAUUAGAUCAGGGAAUAUCACCAUGGAGAUUUGCUGCCAGACUUGUGACGUCACGACAGAUACACCCAGAUAACUUCCCCGAACUAGGUGCAAUAUUACAUGAAAUGUCUACUAGAAGGAUUCUAGCAGCUGACGUUGGCUACAAAGGGACUCAACUGAAACUUUCAUUAUUACUAGAGGGUGGUCAGAAAGUGGCUUUUAAACCAAAGUGGUUCUCUCGGGACCAUGUUAUUGUGGGGCAACCAUAUGAUGGUGCUGAUCGACACAAUGGAGAAAUAGCAGCCUUCCAUCUUAAUAGAUUAUUGGGUUUCAACAGAUCUCCUCUUGCAGUAGGACGAGUGGUUAACUUAGAGAAAGAGAUAAAACCUGUUGCCUCUGAACGUUUGCUCAACACAUUUUUUUACAAAGAUAAAAACACAUGUUUCUAUGGGAAGUGCCUGUACUGCAGGGGUGAGCAAGAUGGUGUCUGUGGUGAGGGGGCAUCACUCGAGGGCACUAUAGUCCUAUGGUUGGAUUCAAAAUGGAAGUUUGGUAAACAUAUACGUCACCCCUGGCAAAGAACUUACAAGGAUGGGAUACAAGCAAGGUGGGAGUAUGACAACAAUUACUGCAACAAUGUAGUGAAAGUUACGUCACCAAAUAACAAACCACCACGACUACUUGACCUCUUAGAUGCUAAUGUGUUUGAUUACAUCAUCGGGAACGCAGAUCGUCAUCAUUAUGAGACAUUCCUCAAUCACUCAGACAGCAUGGUUGUCAUGUUAGAUAGUGCAAAGAGCUUUGGCAACCCAUACCUUGAUGAGCCCAGUAUAUUAGCCCCUCUUAGGCAGUGCUGCAUGUUGCGUAAAUCAACUUGGCGUCGACUGAAGCUUCUCCAAAAUGGUAUCCUAUCUGAAGUAAUGCGAGAAAUACUUUCCAAGGACCCCAUAGCACCUGUACUAACUGAGCCUCAUCUUAUGGCAAUGGAUAGAAGACUAGCAACUAUAGUUAAUGCUGUAAAUCUGUGUAUUGCGAAAAAUGGAGAAAAAGUUUUACAAGAAGAUAGUUUUUCUAAAUUACCUGAGCCUUUCUAUAGGUGAUGAUUUAAAGCAUGGCUAGUCUUUCUAUUUUUAAAGGUUUAUAUACUAAACGUUUUUCUAUAUCAGAUUUAAUUUUUCUGGAAUAUAAAUACUGUUAGCUGUUCAACAGAUUACCGAAUUCAUGAGUCUACGCACAGUGAUAUAUAAUCAUUUUUUUUAGUUUAGUUUAUUAGUCAUUGAUGUGCAUUCUGAGAUUAUUAGGUCUUUGCCAUCAUCAUGUGGUAUGUAAUUCAUCUCAUAUUGCAUCAAAGUCAAUGGAAAACUAACAAUGUUAUAGUACAUCAUUAGACACUUCAAACUAGGACAAUAUGCUAGAUUGAUUGAAUUCAGACGAAGUUUACAUUCGUUAAAACAAUCUCAGGUUCACA